UCACUACGGUACUGCCGGUCUUUAAGCCGGAGGAAGGUGGGGAGUGACGUCAAGUCAGCAUGGCCUUUAUGUCCAGGGCUACACACGUGCUACAAUGGGUGGUACAAAGAGAUGCCAACUCGCGAGAGCGCGCCAAUCUCAGAAAGCCAUCCUCAGUUCGGAUUGGAGUCUGCAACUCGACUCCAUGAAGUUGGAAUCGCUAGUAAUCGCGGAUCAGCACGCCGCGGUGAAUACGUUCCCGGGCCUU
Molecule: ribosomal RNA, 247 nt
Filed under: uncultured Smithella sp.
Lineage: Bacteria; Pseudomonadati; Thermodesulfobacteriota; Syntrophia; Syntrophales; Smithellaceae
Description: partial 16S ribosomal RNA
Rfam family: Bacterial small subunit ribosomal RNA
Source: RNAcentral